This 443-nucleotide ribosomal RNA is filed under the name uncultured bacterium. RNAcentral's name for it is "partial 16S ribosomal RNA". It matches the Rfam family "Bacterial small subunit ribosomal RNA", at positions 338 to 795 of the family's 1533-position model. The record is from RNAcentral.
CCUACGGGAGGCUGCAGUGGGGAAUAUUGGGCAAUGGGCGCAAGCCUGACCCAGCAACGCCGCGUGAAGGCAGAAGGCUUUCGGGUUGUAAACUUCUUUUCUCAGGGACGAAGCAAGUGACGGUACCUGAGGAAUAAGCCACGGCUAACUACGUGCCAGCAGCCGCGGUAAUACGUAGGUGGCAAGCGUUAUCCGGAUUUACUGGGUGUAAAGGGCGUGUAGGCGGGAAAGCAAGUCAGAUGUGAAAACCAUGGGCUCAACCUGUGGCCUGCAUUUGAAACUGUUUUUCUUGAGUACUGGAGAGGCAGACGGAAUUCCUAGUGUAGCGGUGAAAUGCGUAGAGAUUAGGAGGAACACCAGUGGCGAAGGCGGUCUGCUGGACAGCAACUGACGCUGAGGCGCGAAAGCGUGGGGAGCAAACAGGAUUAGAUACCCGGGUAGUC